RNAcentral lists this ribosomal RNA (317 nucleotides) under uncultured methanogenic archaeon. RNAcentral's name for it is "bacterial SSU rRNA". It matches the Rfam family "Archaeal small subunit ribosomal RNA", at positions 1027 to 1343 of the family's 1478-position model. Lineage: Archaea; Methanobacteriati; Methanobacteriota. The record is from RNAcentral.
GGUUAAGUCAGGCAACGAGCGAGACCCACGCGAGCAGUUGCCAGCUUGACCUUCGGGUUGAUGGGGACACUGCUCGGACCGCCUCUGCUAAAGGGGAGGAAGGAAUGGGCAACGGUAGGUCAGCAUGCCCCGAAUUAUCCGGGCUACACGCGGGCUACAAUGGAUAGGACAAUGGGUUUCGACACCGAGAGGUGAGGACAAUCUCCUAAACCUAUCCGAAGUUCGGAUUGCGGGUUGUAACUCACCCGCAUGAAGCUGGAAUCCGUAGUAAUCGCGUUUCAACAUAGCGCGGUGAAUAUGUCCCUGCUCCUUGCACA